Molecule: unclassified non-coding RNA, 821 nt
Filed under: uncultured Bordetella sp.
Lineage: Bacteria; Pseudomonadati; Pseudomonadota; Betaproteobacteria; Burkholderiales; Alcaligenaceae
Description: partial 16S-23S ribosomal RNA intergenic spacer
Rfam family: Bacterial small subunit ribosomal RNA (bases 1-497)
Source: RNAcentral
UUUGAUCAUGGCUCAGAUUGAACGCUGGCAGGAUGCGCUACACAUGCAAGUCGAACGGCAGCACGGACUUCGGUCUGGUGGCGAGUGGCGAACGGGUGAGUAAUGUAUCGGAACGUGCCUAGUAGCGGGGGAUAACUACGCGAAAGCGUAGCUAAUACCGCAUACGCCCUUCGGGGGAAAGCGGGGGACCUUCCGGGCCUCGCACUAUUAGAGCGGCCGAUAUCGGAUUAGCUAGUUGGUGGGGUAACGGCUCACCAAGGCGACGAUCCGUAGCUGGUUUGAGAGGACGACCAAGCCACACUGGGACUGAGACACAGCCCAGACUCACAGGAGGCAGCAGUGAAAUUUUGGACAAUGGGGGGAAACCUGAUCCAGCCAUCCCGCGUGUGCGAUGAAGGCCUUCGGGUUGUAAAGCACUUUUUGGCAGGAAAGAAACGGCACGGGAUACCCCGUGCCGUUUCUUCACCUUAAAAGUGCACGGCCCGAAGGCUUUCAUCGCACACACGCAGGAUCAGCUGGGGUUUUCCCCGUUGAUCAAAAUUCCCCAUGCGAGUACAGACCGUCUCGGUCUGGUGUGGCCGAUCGUCGUCUCUCAAACCAGCUACGGAUCGUCGCCUUGGACCACCAACGCAGAAAAUUUCCGCGUAUCAAAACAUCUGGUAAAUUUCCCCGAGGCGUAUGCGACGUAUUAACUACGCUUUCGCGCGCUAAAAGUAUUCCGAUACGUCUCACCCGUUCGCCAUACCUUGCCGUUCGACUUUUGCGUGUGUGAAGCUCCGCCAGCGUAAUCUGAGCCGUGAUCUGCCCGCAGUGCUCCCAGG